Papaver somniferum (opium poppy) is the source of this 199-nucleotide small nuclear RNA. RefSeq annotates it as U2 spliceosomal RNA. The transcript has a single exon. The record is from RefSeq and is a predicted model, not a curated record. NCBI's taxonomy places the organism in Eukaryota, Viridiplantae, Streptophyta, Magnoliopsida, Ranunculales, Papaveraceae.
AGAUCGGCCUUUUGGCUAAGAUCAAACUUAGUAUCUGUUUUUUAUCAGUUUGAAAUCUGAUAUGCGAUAUUAAAUUAAUUUUUUUCACGGGGGGAGUUCCCAUCAUUUUUUUCACGGGGAGUUCCCAUCACUACAGAUUGCUAGGGUUCUCACGCGUCGCCUCUGUGUUGCACUACUGCAAAGUCCUGGCGCAAACUUG